GAUGAACGCUGGCGGUGUGCCUAACACAUGCAAGUCGAGCGACAACACGAUAAGCUCUUGCUCUUACGGUUAGCGGCGGACGGACGAGUAAGAAGUGGAUCAGAAUCUUCUAUUUCUGGGAUAAUUACGGAAAAAAGCUGCCAAUAAUGCCUCAUAUAUCGUACCGGUUGGAUCAGUAGAUCUACACGGCUUUCGCGUUACUAUUAGCCGAUUCCGCGUCGGAUUAGCUAGUUGGUAAGGUAACGGCUUACCAAGGCGACGAUGCGUAGCUGACAUGAGAGGAUGAUCGGCCACACUGGAACUGAGACACGGUCCAGACUCCUACGGGAGGCAGCAGUAGGGAAUCUUCCGCAAUGGGCGAAAGCUUGACGCAGCAACACCGCGUGAGUGAUGAAGGUCUUCGGAUCGUAAAGCUCUUUUGUUGGGAAAGAACAGAAGCAGGUGAAUCUAUGGACGUCUUGACGGUACCUAAACAAUAAGCCACGGCUAACUUCGUG
Molecule: ribosomal RNA, 497 nt
Filed under: uncultured bacterium
Lineage: Bacteria
Description: partial 16S ribosomal RNA
Rfam family: Bacterial small subunit ribosomal RNA
Source: RNAcentral